RNAcentral lists this long non-coding RNA (1917 nucleotides) under Fukomys damarensis (Damara mole-rat). RNAcentral describes it as "lncRNA (ENSFDAG00000027188.1)". The record is from RNAcentral. Lineage: Eukaryota; Metazoa; Chordata; Mammalia; Rodentia; Bathyergidae.
GGUCAGCGGGUCUUCCCUGAGCGCGCGUCUUCAGCCUCUGAGGAAGUCAGUUGGUUUCACUCAGAGGCUCACGAGAUACCACACGAAGAGGGCAGAGUUUCAGGGAUAAUGUGGUAACGGUGGCAGCUGCUGCUGAAUGUAGGAGAGGGAGGGAUGGUGGAAGGCAGGCAUCACCCUUACUUCGUUCAGACAGUGGUUUUCCUCGGAGCACGUGCCUGCAGACCUAUGUGACGAAGCCUGGCUGUCAUCAUGGUUUCUGCCUGCAGCUUCUUUCUUCAGAAGAAGACAAAGUGUGUCCUGCUUUCACUCAAACCAUGCAGAGAGGAGUCCGGCCAGGAGAGUUUUGAGGACCGUGGAGCACAGCCUGAGCAAGCCUGGCAGUUGAUGCCUGAAGGGGGGAGGAGGGAGUGCUGCCGCCUUUUAAGGAAAAGGAUUUCCUCUCUCUUGCUCUUUUCCCUGCAUGUGCCAUGUUUUUUUUUAUUAUUCUAUUCAGCAGCACGGGACACACUUGAACUGUGCAUUCAUGCCUUCUAACAGGGCAUCGUGGGUGCUGCUGGACAUUGCUAAGGUCAUCCUGCCAGGAACCUGGGACAGGACGGGAGCCACCACCCCUGUAAGCAUGCGACAGGAGUGCAGAGUUCUGGGAGACUCCCUGAGCCACUUUCUAGCAAGAUCCGAGCAGGAACAUCAGAGCAGAGCAAGAGCCAUGUACGGGAGAAAAGUGACGGACACAGAGAACAAGAAGCCAGCGGCUUCUAAAUAACUUGUAUGUGAGCCACGUAGACCGCUGAUGUCCUUCUGGGUUCCCAUGGAUUGGCCUAAUCCCCAUCGUGACUGUGGACUCAUGUCCCCCACGAAGCCCACGAAGCUCCCCAGGGAAGGCAGCAGAAUGUGGACGCCGGGUAUUGGGUUGGGACUGAGCCAGGAGGCAGGCGCUUCUCCACUCAAGUGAUGGUGAGACUUUGGAACAUUUUGUGUCUGAGAUUGGGUCACAUGACAGAGUUAUAGACAUCAUUUGGAAAAUUGGUGGGGGCAUGGUGGGCAGAAGCAACCUUCCAUUGGAAAGAAGAAAGAAACAAUCUGAAUUUUCCCACUCAUUUGUGUGCUGAGCUCUGGCUUGCCAAUAAAGAAGGAAUACUAGGCCUGGAACCAUCCGGUCAGUCAGAAUCAAAAUGAAUGGAAGAGGGGACUAAGGAUUGCAAGCCUAUCUUUUCCGGUCCUAAUGAGAACUUCUGCUCUUCCUGGAGAAUAAAUCACCACAGCAUACCACCUUUACCACCACCAGCUUUGCUUCACAUAAAACACAUUCAGUUCCCGGAUCCCUUACAUGGAUACUUUGCUCCUCAGGAGACCUCUCCCUCAGGAUUAGAUGGGGCACUGUACGACUGAGGAGAUUCUGAAUUUAUACUCAGCUUGUAGUUGCCACCCAGCUAACAGAUUGCCAUAGCUGCCUAGUGGGACAGUUUCGAUGCCUGUGAUUUCCAUCUCCACUGACUGUGAAGGGAAAGACACUGACAACUAAGGAGUUUAUCGCUGAAACUUACUGCUAUGCCGCUAUCCCGAGUGCAGUGCAGAUUCAGUGACUAAAGCUUUUCCCCUCUCCACUGAUUGGGAAGAGACAAUAGCUUACUGACUUGACUGGAUGUAAGACCACAGUGGAUGGAGAGGUGCCUUAUCUUGAGAAGGCCUGGGAAACAAUAGGAUAAUGACUGAAUGUACCGGUUAUGAGGUGAUGCUGUGUGAUCUAUCAGGCUUAGCCUUGGAAGGGAAAAUAAGUCAUAAUGUUUAAAUCGGAAGGAACUCCAGGGCCUUUAGCCUGAUAAAGGACCUAUAGUGUGGCAUGAUUAAAUCACAGGUUAUGUUAACAACAAAAGAACUUUCUCUCAUUCAGAUCAUAAUCUGCUUUUUCAAAAUUGC